This 309-nucleotide unclassified non-coding RNA is filed under the name fungal sp. Its description in RNAcentral is "partial internal transcribed spacer region". The stretch from base 1 to 44 matches the Rfam family "Eukaryotic small subunit ribosomal RNA", at positions 1788 to 1831 of the family's 1831-position model. Lineage: Eukaryota; Fungi. The record is from RNAcentral.
GUCGUAACAAGGUUUCCGUAGGUGAACCUGCGGAAGGAUCAUUACCACACCUUAAAACUAUCCACGUGAACCGUUUGUACCCAGAUUUGCGCCGAGAUUUUCGUGCGUGUUUGUUUGUAUCACUGUGUAUUCGUACGCGGUGUGUGGCAAAUAUGUAUGGAGCUUGGCUGAUCGAAGGUCGUAUCGCACUUUAUUGUGUGUGUCGGCUGACUUAUUUUUCAAACCCAUUACUUACUACUGAUUAUACUGUGAAGACGAAAGUCUUUGCUUUUACUAGAUAACAACUUUCAGCAGUGGAUGUCUAGGCUC